GAUGAACGCUAGCGAUAGGCUUAACACAUGCAAGUCGAGGGGCAGCAUGGUCUUAGCUUGCUAAGACUGAUGGCGACCGGCGCACGGGUGCGUAACGCGUAUGCAACUUGCCUCACAGAGGGGGAUAACCCGUCGAAAGACGGACUAAUACCGCGUACACUUGGGAUGGGGCAUCCUGACCCAAGGAAAUGAAAUUCGCUGUGAGAUAGGCAUGCGUCCCAUUAGCUAGUUGGUGAGGUAACGGCUCACCAAGGCGACGAUGGGUAGGGGAACUGAGAGGGUGAACCCCCACACUGGUACUGAGACACGGACCAGACUCCUACGGGAGGCAGCAGUGAGGAAUAUUGGUCAAUGGGCGAGAGCCUGAACCAGCCAAGUCGCGUGAAGGAUGACUGUCUUAUGGAUUGUAAGCUUCUUUUAUACGGGAAUAACAAGAGCCACGUGUGGCUCCCUGCAUGUACCGUAUGAAUAAGCAUCGGCUAACUCCGUG
This 490-nucleotide ribosomal RNA is filed under the name uncultured bacterium. RNAcentral's name for it is "partial 16S ribosomal RNA". It matches the Rfam family "Bacterial small subunit ribosomal RNA", at positions 28 to 507 of the family's 1533-position model. The record is from RNAcentral.